RNAcentral lists this unclassified non-coding RNA (574 nucleotides) under Hevea brasiliensis (rubber tree). Lineage: Eukaryota; Viridiplantae; Streptophyta; Magnoliopsida; Malpighiales; Euphorbiaceae. The record is from RNAcentral.
UCUCUCAUGGACAUUAGGUAAGAUAUUCAGAUCUAAUCUUUUUGUUAGUCAGCUUUAUUUCUUUCUGACAACUGUUUUGGAGAAGCCUAGUGUGCUCUAUAUAUUUUCAUUUAUGUGAUCAUUUGAUGUCUACCCUGUUUGUCCCUAUAGCUGGGCUUUCCCUUAUCUUUUUUGGCCUAUGUGGUCAUGGAGUUGAUAUCCUUCUUAUUCGACUGCAAAUUCGUUAAUAGUCGAGUUUUAAAAAGGUUAGAAAAAAUGUCUGAAGCAGAAAAGUUUUUCCGCACCAAGUGGAAGGCGAUAACAUCCAAUUGGAAAACAGCGUAUAUUGAACCGAUAGUCUUGUGGAUAUCACUCGUUCUAUGUUGUGCAUGCGGCUAAAAAAUAGAGGGUCCUGAUAUUAUAUUAGCUAAGGCUGAAAACAAUGUAUAAGUACUUAUUUCUUAAAGAAUGUGAAUGACAUAAUUCAAUUUCAGUGUUAUUUCUUGGCACUUUCAGUGAGUAGUAACUCAGCUGGCAUGAAAUGAAUAGGGUAUAAGGGUACAUUUACCUAAUGAACGUGCACCCUUUUUUUUUG